UUGCAAAAAACCCUCCCUUCAACGCUGCUUUUUUUUUUUUUUUUUUUUUUUAUGGGACAGGUGGAGUACCAGUUCCUCUCCCCCUACGUCUCCCCCAGGGACACCCCCUUCCGCCACAUCCUCCUGGGCUCCGGCUCCCACACCGCCCAGGCCCUGCUGGAACACGUCCUCCUGCUCAGGAGCAACGCGAGCGCCUUCGACAAAGACCUCUUCAAGAACCAGCUGGCCCUCAUGACGUGGACCAUCCAAGGGGCAGCCAACGCCCUGGCUGGCGACGUUUGGGACAUCAAUAACGAGCUCUGAAAAAAACAACAACGAUCCACCCCCCACCCCCCCACCCUUCCAAAAAAACACCCCCUCCACCCCCGUCCUCUUCCACCACCACCCCAAACCCGUUGCCCAGUUACACACCUUCCCUUUAGCUUUUCAGCUGGGUUUUUAGAGGGUCCCAAAGUCGAGGGAUUCAAAUCUUGGGAGAGAUUUUUUAGGUGCGGAUCGAUGUCCCUGCCUGAUGUGGCUAAUAAGGCCCCCAUCAUCCCCUUAGCAAUCUGAAGGAAUUCCGUUUCCCGGAGUAAGCGAACCCCUCUGGCUGGACAGAGAAAGCCCCCUAAGCCGACCACGUUCCAGUCGGCGUUGAAACUCUCCCCGCAAAGCAAAAAAGGCUUAAAUUGGUGGGAGCCUGCUUGGGGAGGGGGGGGGACCAGGUUCGAAUCUCCUCCCACGCAUAUUUUCAUCAGGCCUGGAACGUGGAGCCCUUCUACCUUACUCUGUCCGGUUCCCCUCGGGCCACUUACUCCGGGGAAUGAGGCGAAUGGGGAUAAGGUCCGGCGGGCACGAUUUAGGAAAUGUAGGCAACGGGAAGCCCUUUUCCGGGAAGCCCUUUGGUCUUCUUGCUUUGUUGGCCAACCGGGAAAACACGCGAGCCUUUCCCGUCGGUCCCACUAGGGAAGGAGGGCGCGUUCCCGCGGCCUCCUCGGUCCUGGAGAUAUAUUUAUUAGUUAUUUAUUUAUCAGUGACAGUGUUCACUAUAAAUGCUAUUUGUGUUCUACCGAAUAUAAUUAUCGGAAGCAGUGACUUCCAUAAUUAUGACAGUUAUACUGUCGUUGUUUUGAUAUUAAGUAAUAAAAGCAGCAUCUGCUAACCGUGAGGAGAACUGGAGACUUGGGAGGGAGGGGGGCGUGAAUUUCCCUCCACUGCAGCGUUUCAAGAGAGGGUUUGUAGUCGCUGCCGUUUCUGGGGUGCUGCGCGGGGAAGGCAGGAAACCCU
Notechis scutatus (mainland tiger snake) is the source of this 1266-nucleotide non-coding RNA. NCBI's taxonomy places the organism in Eukaryota, Metazoa, Chordata, Lepidosauria, Squamata, Elapidae. The record is from RefSeq and is a predicted model, not a curated record.